UUACUAAGGGAAGGGGUGGGGGGAGAGCUUGCAAAAAGUUAAGGAUAGACUUUUCCUAUUAAAUCAAUUUACCAUGGGACGCCUGGGUGGCUCAGCAGUUGGGCAGCUGCCUUCAGUUCGGGUUGUGAUCCUGGGAUCCUGGAUCGAGUCCUGCAUUGAGUUCCCUCUGCCUGUCUUUGUCUCUCCCUCUAUCUCUCUCUUUCUCAUGAAUAAAUAAAUCUUUUAAAAAAAUAAAUUUACCUUAGGCUGGGAAGAAUGUUCUUCCCAUAAUUCUAGUGUUAGAAUCUAGGAAAUGGUGACAUCAGUAGUUCUCAAGUGAGAUUGUACAUUAGAACCAGUUUUGAGAGUUUUAAACAUGAUCUCCAUAGAGGCUGUGACUUAAUUGUUUUGCAUUCAAUUGCUUUAUCAUUAGAAUGUUUUAAGGUUCUCAGGGGAGGGAUCUUAAUACCUAGCAAAACUACACGUAAAGAUAGAAUCCAAUUCCUCUUGUGCAUAGAUGAAAAAUUGGAAAUCUGCUCAGCAAAGUUAUUUGUGCAAUUAUUAGAAGAUGAGGAUUGCCCUAGUGAAUGUAGCUUGAAGCCACUUUCAAUUUGCCACAGGACUGGCAAAUGGAGCCUCACCUUAAUGACUCCAAAGUGCUCCCUAACACCUUGAUCGUGAAGAAAAUUGAUGAAACUCACAGAUGCAGAACUGCUGAGGGAGACAGAAUUUAACUACAGACUCUGUGACCAUAAAUGAAGGCUGCCAUCUUCCUUUUUUAUGAAAUAAAUAAAAAAAAUAUUGAUUCUUUC
Molecule: long non-coding RNA, 791 nt
Filed under: Vulpes vulpes (red fox)
Lineage: Eukaryota; Metazoa; Chordata; Mammalia; Carnivora; Canidae
Description: lncRNA (ENSVVUG00000023015.1)
Source: RNAcentral